RNAcentral lists this long non-coding RNA (1391 nucleotides) under Homo sapiens (human). Its description in RNAcentral is "long intergenic non-protein coding RNA 339". Lineage: Eukaryota; Metazoa; Chordata; Mammalia; Primates; Hominidae. The record is from RNAcentral.
CCUUUCCUGGAGUCAUUUGUGGGAGUUAGGGUCUUAUCCUGAUCUUUCCUCGUCCCCCGCUCCCCCGUCCUCCGAGGUGGCAGCUGCAUCGGGGGUCAUACUACACAUCGAUCGGGACCUUAGUCAUGUUGUGAUAUGGACAGCUUUCUUACCAGUACUCAUAAGCCUGCUUCAUUUUUUACGUGGCGGCACCACUGAGUGGUUGACGGUACUUCAGUCAUUUCCCUGUUGAUGGUCACUUAGGUUGUUCCCAAGAUUUUGCUUUCCCACAGUGUUUCACCCAACCUUUCUUGGACGAAAUAUUUUAGUCCAACUCACCCUAAGUGAUUCUGCUUUUCCCUAUUCACCACCCUAGGUUAGUAACAGCUUACUUUGGGGGAUGAGCACACCUUAUUAACUGAGCAAAAACCAAGAUAAUGUGAGAAGAAUUGGUGUACUCCCAAGAAUAUCCAAGGUGCUGGGUCUAGAAUCAAUUAAAGUCUCCUAAGAAAUGGGUCAGGGAACCUUUAGAGAAGGGAUGACUAGGUGCUGGGUGCACGGCAGCUAGUCAGCGUUAGUGAUUGUUGGCUUCUGUCAAUUGUUGCUCAGGAAACAGAUUUGAGAGAUUCUCUGAGGUGGGAAGGAUUUUAAAUGUCAGCUCUCCUGCUAUGUAUUAUAUGUCUGGAAGGGAUUAGUUCUUUGAGGGAAGAGAGUAUUAAAGAAAACAAUGGGCCGGGCACGGUGGCUCACACCUGUAAUCCCAGCACUUUGGGAGGCCGAGGCAAGGGCGGUGGAUCAUGAGGUCAGGAGAUCGAGACCAUCCUGGCUAACAUGGUGAAACCUCAUUUCUACUAAAAAUACAAAAAAAAAUUAGCUGGGCCUGGUGGCACGUGCCGUAGUCCCAGCUACUCAGGAGGCUGAGGCAGGAGGAUUGCUUGAACCUGGGAGGCAGAGGUUGCAGUGAGCCGAGAUUGUGCCUGGGCAACAGAGCAAGACUCCGUCUCAAAAAAAAAAAAAAAAAAAAGAAAAUGAUGAUCCUUGAAAAGUGACUGCAUCAUGGGGCUGUAUCCUAAUAAGUCUGGAACGUUUUUUCUUAGAGUUCCAGAAUUGAGACUGAAGUGUACCCAGAGACACAAAGAAAUACAGAAGUCCAGAAUGAUCAAAUGAGAUCACUACCCAAUGAAAUGAUGGGCCGAGGAGCCAGAAGUUGUCCUACUACCUGCUUUCCAGGUCCAGAUUCCACGAGAGCCUUCUGGGCUCCCACCAGAGACCCUCAGUGAAGACUCUGUUGAAGACUUUAAGACCAUGCUAGAAAGCCUCCCGGCAGAGGUUCAGGAAGUUCUGCUAUGAGGAUGCAGCUGGCCCCAGGGAUGUCCUCAGGCAUCUCUAGGACCUUGCUGGACGGUGGUGGC